AUGCAAGUCGAGGGGUAGCAGGAUGUAGCAAUACAUUGCUGACGACCGGCGCACGGGUGAGUAACGCGUAUGUAACCUACCUUCUACAGGGGGAUAGCCCGGAGAAAUCCGGAUUAAUACCCCAUAAAACAGGGGCUCCGCAUGGAGAUAUUUGUUAAAGAUUAAUCGGUAGAAGAUGGGCAUGCGUUCCAUUAGCCAGUUGGUGAGGUAACGGCUCACCAAAGCAACGAUGGAUAGGGGAACUGAGAGGUUUAUCCCCCACACUGGAACUGAGACACGGACCAGACUCCUACGGGAGGCAGCAGUGAGGAAUAUUGGUCAAUGGGCGAGAGCCUGAACCAGCCAAGUCGCGUGAAGGAAGACUGCCUUAUGGGUUGUAAACUUCUUUUAUAUGGGAAUAAAAAGAGUUACGUGUAACUUAUUGCAAGUACCAUAUGAAUAAGCAUCGGCUAACUCCGUGCCAGCAGCCGCGGUAAUACGGAGGAUGCGAGCGUUAUCCGGAUUUAUUGGGUUUAAAGGGUGCGCAGGCGGUUUAUUAAGUCAGCGGUGAAAUCUAGAGGCUCAACCUCUAAACUGCCGUUGAAACUGGUAGACUUGAGUAUAGAUGAAGUAGGCGGAAUUCGUUGUGGUAGCGGUGAAAUGCAUAGAUAUAACGAGGAACCCCGAUUGCGUAGGCAGCUUACUAAACUAUAACUGACGCUCAGGCACGAAAGCGUGGGUAUCAAACAGGAUUAGAUACCCUGGUAGUCCACGCAGUAAACUAUGAUUACUAAGUUGUUUGCGAUAUGAUAGCAAGUGACUAAGCGAAAGCGAUAAGUAAUCCCCUGGGG
RNAcentral lists this ribosomal RNA (830 nucleotides) under uncultured Porphyromonadaceae bacterium. RNAcentral's name for it is "bacterial SSU rRNA". It matches the Rfam family "Bacterial small subunit ribosomal RNA", at positions 55 to 878 of the family's 1533-position model. The record is from RNAcentral. Lineage: Bacteria; Pseudomonadati; Bacteroidota; Bacteroidia; Bacteroidales; Porphyromonadaceae.